Aphis gossypii (cotton aphid) is the source of this 274-nucleotide long non-coding RNA. RefSeq lists it as uncharacterized. The transcript has 2 exons. NCBI's taxonomy places the organism in Eukaryota, Metazoa, Arthropoda, Insecta, Hemiptera, Aphididae. The record is from RefSeq and is a predicted model, not a curated record.
CAUACAAAUAUACAAUACCAAUUUUUAAUUCGGCCUCAGAAUAAGAAGUUACGUUUUUUGUUUUGGCGUUAGCGGUAUUGUCAUCGCAACGAAAACAGUAAUAUUAUACAACAAAAAUUGGUCACCAUCGAUGUUCAAUACCGGAAUGGAAUGAAAGAUAUAUUUACACAAUACACACCCAGCACGUUAAACGAUUUUAUACUACUUUUUAAAUGAGUUAACAUCAGAAGCGUGAAUUAUGACGUGUGACCUAACGCUGUCGUUACCAAAUAGU